This is a non-coding RNA of Phrynosoma platyrhinos (Desert horned lizard), 72 nucleotides long. The record is from the annotation of a GenBank genome assembly. NCBI's taxonomy places the organism in Eukaryota, Metazoa, Chordata, Lepidosauria, Squamata, Phrynosomatidae.
GACUCAGUGGUAUAGUGGUUUGAGUGUUGGACUAGGAUUCUGGAGACCAGGGUUCGGAUCCCCUCUUGGCCA